This is a long non-coding RNA of Fukomys damarensis (Damara mole-rat), 1274 nucleotides long. RefSeq lists it as uncharacterized. The transcript is spliced from 3 exons. Lineage: Eukaryota; Metazoa; Chordata; Mammalia; Rodentia; Bathyergidae. The record is from RefSeq and is a predicted model, not a curated record.
UACAUCGUGAGUUCCAGGUCAGUCUCAACUACAAAAAACAAACAAAAAUGUAUGGAAGGUAGGUGGUCAGAAGAAGAGAUGGGAUUUGAUCAAGGAGACAAAGAUGGAAUUUAAGGGUGACAGGAGUAGGUUUGGAAGCCGAGGUGGUGAAAAUGAGUUCCGUUUGCUGCUGUAGCAUUUGAAAUGUUUGCUGGGAUCUUAAGAGGAAAGCUAAGGCAGUUAACUGGCCGCAAGAGGUCAGUGCUGAGCUGCAGACCCGGGGGUGGGGGUACAUGCUCUUUAAAGCCGUGGAGGGAGUGCGAAGGUCACAGCUAGAGCAGGGCCCGCACUGGUCUCUGGGCUGGCGCUGGGGGCGGGCGGAGGGGAGCUGGGACAGGAGCGGAAGCGCAGCAGCUGAGCGGGAGGAGCUCCGCCGAGGGGCGGCGCUCAGGAGCUAACGGUGUGGCCGGCGGUGAAAUGCUGGGCUCCCGAGUGAGGAUGGGGAAGGAAGGGCCGUGGGUUUGGCAGCGAGGAGGGCAUGGGAUGAGGUGAAGGGAGCGCUUGAGAUGCAUCUGAGAGGCUGGUCGGAAAUGGAGUUCUUUAUGCCCCCAGCUGCCCUCCGCCCGCCUGGCCUCCCGCCCCUGGACCCAGUGGAAGCGGAGAGAGCUCAGAGUUUGCCUCCCCGUCCUGGCCAGAGUGGGCCAGCCUCCUCCCCGCUGCCCGUGGUCCCCUCCUGUGAGAGCCGCAGCUCUGUGGGUCUUUGCUGCCCGCAGCCGAGCCUUUUCCGGGCUGGGCUCUGACCGCCGUCCAGCGCGGUUCCCAGCCCCUCCACUACGCUCUUCCUAAAGCUUCCCUUUGAGCAGUGGCUACUGGAUUUAGUGGCUGAAUCACCAUAGAAUACUGUGUAGUGACUGUGAGAACCUAGAAUCGUGGUCUGGCUUCGGGUGUUUCCAGCUGACCUCUCUGGGCUGCAGCCUCAGGAGAGACCCUUAGACAGAACUACCAGCUACACUGCUCCCAGAUUCCUACCGGCAGAACCUGAGAUAGCCCUUUUGUGUUUACUGAGAUGUGCGAUGAAGAGCUUCAGGACCUGCCAGCGUCUCAGCGCGAGCCAUCAGAGGGACGCAGAGAAUCGGGCUUCAGAUGCAUUUCAUUCCCCUCGCCCGGAAAACGAGACCCGGCUGGAAAGUAAUCAGCCUUGAAAACAGAGAUCAAGAGCGUCAGCCCCAUCGGCUGUGCUACUUCCGGAGCCUCCAUUGGCGGCUGCGGACUCGACGGACGACCGAAGAGAGGCC